This is a non-coding RNA of Schistosoma mattheei, 78 nucleotides long. Lineage: Eukaryota; Metazoa; Platyhelminthes; Trematoda; Strigeidida; Schistosomatidae. The record is from Rfam.
AGCCUUCUGUAUCUGUGCUGAUAUUUCGUCACACACCAGACCACAAGGGUUGAUGAGACUCCCAAAAUAAGUGAAGCG